RNAcentral lists this long non-coding RNA (2130 nucleotides) under Paramuricea clavata. Lineage: Eukaryota; Metazoa; Cnidaria; Anthozoa; Malacalcyonacea; Plexauridae. The record is from RNAcentral.
GAUUGAAAAAUGGCUACAGCUGUUGUGCCUGGGUCCGGCGCUUCAACUUUGAACAGGAACAUAUCUGAUGAAGAACGAAGAUGGAUGGUUAUUGGUAUAUGUCUCAACAAAGUUUUGACACCUACACUAAGAGAUGUCCUCAGUGUUGAAAUACCUAAAUGGCAUCAGACCUUGGUUAAACAUCCUAUAGAAAUUGAUAAACAAACGUUUGGAAAGUUUGUGAAAAACCUGCUGCCAUCAACCAUAAAGUUGAACUAUGACAGUGUCAACAACAAUGUUGUACACAAGUCUGCAAAGUUAUAUGAUUAUGCUGUAAAAGACCCUUUGUCUUUGGCGAAAUUGUUUGUGAAACCUUUCAUGGCAAGUUUCACUGGUUUUGACCACACCAUGGAUACCUCUGCUGUUCUGUCAGUAAUAUGUGAAGCACAACCAUUCAUUACUUGUGGUGCUGCAGUUCAUGCAAAGAAGAUCAGGUCGGAUAUUAGGAAUGAAUGGGCACAUUGCGAUUUUUCACAUUGGACCAAGCCAAUUUUCCAAACUGCUUUGAACGACAUUGAAUCCUUGGUCAGGACUCUAGGUUUGACAACAGUGGAAGAGAAAAUUGUUCUUGAUGAAAUUGAUAAGUGGAGGAACAAUGGUAAGUAUUGAUAAUGCGCCCUGUUAUUAUACUGUAUAUUUUAUAUAAUCAGAGAUUGCAGGUUGAUUUUAAGAUUGAAGUCAUUGAACCAGUGGGCUGUCUUUGAUAUGAACUGACGUUUGAGGUCAUUUCUACUGUGUUUCCACGCCAGGCGAGUUUGCUUGACCGCGGUGAGAAUGGAAGCCGCGAUCUUUGGUUUACUUCGGUUCGAAUAGUUGAUAUUAGUAUGUGCCGUAUGAUCCUGAAUGUAAUGAUUAUGAUGUAUGUAAUCACGUGAAAUUAUUGGAGUUCAUGCUACUCUGAGUGUAUCCACACUCGCCAAGCUUCAACGUUUCCUACUGUACACCGAUUCUCACCACGGUCAAGCAAAUUUUUAGCUUGCUCUGUGUGGACGCAGUUACAGUAGCAUCAUCUCAAAUGAUUUCACCUGAGUACAUAAACAACAAUCAUUACAUUUAUAAACUGACCUUGGAGUGUCUGAACGGAUGCCCUCACCAGAAAAUUUAUAAAAGUCAAAGCCUGAAAACUGGAAUUUUCCACCAGUAAUUGUGCUUGAAAUUUUCAGGUUUGUCGUCAUAAUAUGCAGAUAUAUUUUUGAAAUAUUCAUAGUGACAACGAGAUCCGGGGCGGAUCUACCAUGAGGGUACAGCUGGUGCGCACCCCAUAUGAUGGAGUCCAGCAUCACUCUAAAAAAUCUGCUUGACCAUACAUUUCUGCUUUUCGAAUAGCGAUUAGCGGAACUUCUAUUGUUAGCGCGCGUUUAUUUUGUUGAAACGAUAUAAAAUUGAUUUGUGAGCUCACGAGAAAAUACUCAGAAUGCUUUACCUAAACAUUACUAUUAAACAUGUAAACAGCCAUAUUUUCAAAUAUAUUGUACUUUAAUAAGCAAACUAUCCAGUCACGCAUACUAUACGUGAUAAAAAGCCGAUAUAAACUGUAUAAAGAAAAAUAAUAUAAAACUUAUAACAGUACGGCGAACAUGCAGAUUCGGCUAUCUCAAAAUAAUGGCAAUGUUGGGAUAGCAGCGCUGCCGACUGCAGAGGAGAAUGGGCAGCAAAACCUGCAUCCCUCCUUGCAGAUGAGGCUAAGUCCGCCCCUGAACUAGAUUAUCCCUUUAUGAAGAAAACAAUAAUUACAAAAAUUAGUGCAUUUAUGUAUUCAACAUAUCAUUUAGUCACCGAAUUUAUCUAAAUUUUGAAACUGUGCCAGGCUGUCUUUGUGCAGCGGUUCAAAACUUAGGUGGCUCUUGAACCCGUUUUUUGGAGUAUGGAGUAUGGUUUCAGUUUGUUAAAUUCCCGUUCUUGGCGUUCUAUUAUAAUAUCGAUUGAUAACCAAAAAGCAGCAUUUUCUGCAACUUCAAUUUUAAUUCCCAGGGAUACAGCUAUGCAUUGGUAACCCAGUAGAUUGUGAGCUUCUCGAUCUUAUCCAAACCGAAGUUGGAAAUCUUCAGGAGUCUGUCACGCUGUUUAAUGAAGACACAAAGGCGGAUAAGG